CUUGCCUGCCCCAUCGGAGCCGCCGGAGGUGGAGUCCGCCCCCCGGACCCCCGAACUCCUGUGCGUGCCCCUCCAUGGUGCUCUAGGCUGUGGAGGGCAAGGCCAGUCCCCGGGAGCAGGGUGAGGAAGGGGCCCCCACGCAGCCCUGCUGUGGAUUGGCGGGAGGACCCCAGGCUGGGCCAACCCAGCAGCCCGCGGCCAGGAGCGGGCAUCCCAAUGGGGAAAUCGGCCAGGAGGGGCUGGGGAAGCUGGUGCCUUCGCCCGCGCCCCGUGAGCUUUACCUCCGUGCGACAAGAGCGGUGGCUCCGGGCGGGGCCCACGCAGCUGGAGCCUCCAUCUCUCCUGCGGGACCAGAGCACCGGGAAGACCUGACCGAGACCCAACGUCCCUGCCCCCGUUCUGGGGCUCUCUGCAGGCCCCAACUUCUGCGGGACUCUCCAGUGGGAGCAGCAAGGGUUCUCAGGAACAACCCCUAUACAAACCGGGACAGAGGCACCUCACUACUCCUUCUGUGCCCCACCUUCUCCACUGACCCUGCCGGAGUGCAGCACACACAGCAAGCAUUUAAUAAAUCGCUUGAAGUGGGGAACAUCUGUACUCGGUAAAGAAACCACAGGAAUUGGGAACUGCCGGUUGAAGAUUAUUUACCAGUUCCAGCAAAAUUGACUGCACCUGCCAUACUGCAGGCCGGUGCAGCAUCAGGAGCUGGAGACCAGGGGCAACAGGCAGCACGCGUGCUCCAGCUCAGAGUGGAAGGCCCUGGGAAAUGGUUUGAUUUCCUGCGCUGAACUGAUGCUGCUUCCAGAAUGAAUCUGCUCCUUGGUGGGUUCUGCUGAUGUGGCCAGUGCUAGCCUAGGCCACGACCACCUAGCCCACCACCCAGAAGGCAGCAUCCCCUGCUCCUGCUUUAACAAGCUGGCCCAUUUUCAUCUCUCCUACCUCUGGGAGUAGCAGGGGCGCUCCCGGAAGCUGACACCCCCUCCACAGGUCCGGCUGCAGGGGCUCCACUGGCUCCAGGGUCCCCAGGUGUCACUCUGCCGCCUCACCUUGGGAGCCUGCAGAAGACAGGACCAUGCAUCAGCAUUGCCCACUCACAGCCUGAGCCCAGAGGCCCCUCCAAAGAUGCUCUGCCUAAAACCCUCCCCUACCCAUCAAGGAGUCUGGGAUUCUCCCUUCCAGGGCCCACCUUUAGGACUCAGCAACACUGCCGGGCACCCCAAAACAUAUUCCUUUUCAGAAUUAGCCUGCUUUCCUCAUAAGGAGCUGAGAGCCAGGCCUGGAGGGCGGGAGCAGGAGCAGCUGGGAAGAGUUUGGAGUUUCAGGGGCCACUGGAGGGGAGGGACCCUACAGCCAGGGGCAGUUUGAGGGUCCAGGCAUUUGUAGGUUAACCGUGAUGUAGGGGAGGGGGGCCUAAAAGAAAAUAAAGGGAAGCAACGUGGGGGGAUCCUGCUAAUCUGGCCGAGACUCCCAGGAGUACCCCAAUAUUCAUCCCCUCCUUCUCCCAUUGUGAGAGAAUGCUUGAAAACUUGACUCAGCUGGGUACCUGGCUGCCCAAAAUUUAAAAAAAAAAUACAUUUCCUGGACUGCCUGCAGCUAACUGUGGCUACAUCACUUAGUUCUCAUCAGUGAGAUGUAAAUACAAGUGUUGGGCAGCUGCCGCAAAUAAUCUCCUCAAGAGAGA
Molecule: long non-coding RNA, 1681 nt
Filed under: Homo sapiens (human)
Lineage: Eukaryota; Metazoa; Chordata; Mammalia; Primates; Hominidae
Description: non-protein coding lnc-NUMB-3:5
Source: RNAcentral